GGCUUGAAGCUCUUCAGUUGGUACAUCGGUAGAGGUUGGCGAAGAUGUACCAGAAAGAAAUCUGUCUAGAUCCCUUCGGUCGAUUGACGUUGGUUUGAUCAGAGACACUGCAACAGAUGAAGAACAAUUGUUUACGAGAACUACUGAUGGAAAUUGGGAUUUAAACAAUAGAGUGGGUUCGAGACUUACAGUUAUGGUUAUACAAUCAUGCUUGUUUACUCAGAAGUUCGAAGCUCCCUUCCUUAAUGUGAAUCUUCUCUAGAAGGCUCGCCAUUUCUCUCACUCGUUCCGUUGAAAUACUUCUGAAGUUUGCAGAGAUACGAUCGGAAGUGAUCCAGUUAGGUAUGGAGGAGACUUCGGGUCCUUUGACAAAAAACCACUCCUUAUGCCAUCCUUGGUUGCUCGAAGGAGUGUCCAUUAAUGCUCGCCUCUCGAACCUGGCAUUAGGUUUGGAAGAUUGUUUGUUCAGCAUCUCGAAGCCUCGUUCUCAAGAUUUACCGGCUGUGAGCAGGGUGAAAAAGAAGUUUUCAGCAGGUGGAAUCCCUUGUUCGUGGCAGAAGGCGAAAAAUGUCAGGAUGCGGAUAUAGGAGUUCGGCACUAAGUGGGUGAAUCCCACGCCUACAAACCCUAGUAGAAUGAUGACAAAGGCAUGAAUAGGUAAGCGAACUCCCUCUUCGAGAAUGGUCAUCGGCAUGGCGGUCCAGCCUUCGGGUCGCUGGUACAUUCGUUCGUGGGGAGCUGGAGCCCUUACCAUGUGGGUGUCCCGAAUCUGAUAGCGGGUCCGAAGGUUACCCAACUCAUUCUCAGUGACGGUGGAAGGAGUGUUGGCAUGAGGGAAGUAUUCUUCACUUUUGAAGAAUUCUGAAGGAUUGGGAAUAGUUUUUAGUGGUUGAUUUUGAUUGUGAGUAUCAAUAGAUUUGAGAUUUGAACUCGGAGCCUCUUUUUUGCUAGAGCUCGGAUUGGGAAGAACAAUGGUAGUGGGGGCUAUGCGAAGUGGAGAAUUUUGAUUAGUAUUCUGAGAAGUCAUUGUUAAUUAGUUGCAGAGAGAAAUUUGGAGAAGAAGAGGAGUAAAGAAUAUCUGAAUUUCGAAUUGAGUUGGUAAAACUGUCAGAUUUGGGAGAAAGCAGCUUUUAUACUAGAGUUCUCUUCAACUUUUCACAAGGUUCAGGGGUGGCUCAUUUAAUGCCAACGGUGAUUGUGAAGUUAAAGAAGUAGCGUGCGGUUUUAGUCUUCAUUGUUAACCGGAGUGGGCUUCUCUUUUGGGCCUCGGUAAGUUGUAUCUUGGGCUUUUGUUGAUCUCAUUAUAAUUCCUUUUAUUCUGGACCGAUUCCACUUAUACUCUUUCAUUAAACCUCCUGUUUAAUAAAAGACUGGGGGGCAAUGUUGGGCCAUAAUACUUUAGACAU
RNAcentral lists this long non-coding RNA (1406 nucleotides) under Panax ginseng (ginseng). Its description in RNAcentral is "long non-coding RNA (PGIN_LNC004250)". The record is from RNAcentral. Lineage: Eukaryota; Viridiplantae; Streptophyta; Magnoliopsida; Apiales; Araliaceae.